UACGUAGGGUGCGAGCGUUGUCCGGAAUUAUUGGGCGUAAAGAGCUUGUAGGCGGUUUGUCGCGUCUGCUGUGAAAAUCCGGGGCUCAACCCCGGACUUGCAGUGGGUACGGGCAGACUAGAGUGCGGUAGGGGAGAGCUGGAAUUCCUGGUGUAGCGGUGGAAUGCGCAGAUAUCAGGAGGAACACCGAUGGCGAAGGCAGGUCUCUGGGCCGCGAACUGACGCUGAGGAGCGAAAGCGUGGGGAGCGAACAGG
RNAcentral lists this ribosomal RNA (255 nucleotides) under uncultured bacterium. Its description in RNAcentral is "partial 16S ribosomal RNA". It matches the Rfam family "Bacterial small subunit ribosomal RNA", at positions 524 to 776 of the family's 1533-position model. The record is from RNAcentral.